Ornithodoros turicata is the source of this 380-nucleotide long non-coding RNA. RefSeq lists it as uncharacterized. Lineage: Eukaryota; Metazoa; Arthropoda; Arachnida; Ixodida; Argasidae. The record is from RefSeq and is a predicted model, not a curated record. The transcript is spliced from 4 exons.
CGGGCAAUGCGGGUGUGCGUUUCGUUCGUGAGCUGGACGCUUGUACAUGUGCGUCUCAUGGCAACUUUUCAACUGCAUUAACAACACGUCGUAUUAAAACUGCAAUGACGACCACAUCAACUGACCUGGUCGGUCAGGUCCGAGGACGCUGCAGUAACUGUGACUGCUCGGGAUAUCUGCGUGCCGCAGAUGCCUUUUCUUAUGACAAGUGCCCUCCUGGUUGGUGCCUGAUGUGUGGCCACCCGCCUGCGGACCACGGCGUUAUAGGCCCCUUGCAAGAUGGAGGAUUUUCUUCAACACAGGAGCGGGGCAGGCACUACUCAGGCCCUUUGCAAGAUGGAGGAUUUUCUUCAACACAGGAGCAUGGCAGGCAUUACUCA